ACCCGCGGCAAGACGGAAAGACCCCGUGAACCUUUACUAUAGCUUGACACUGAACAUUGAGCCUUGAUGUGUAGGAUAGGUGGGAGGCUUUGAAGUGUGGACGCCAGUCUGCAUGGAGCCGACCUUGAAAUACCACCCUUUAAUGUUUGAUGUUCUAACGUUGGCCCCUGAUCGGGGUUGCGGACAGUGUCUGGUGGGUAGUUUGACUGGGGCGGUCUCCUCCUAAAGAGUAACGGAGGAGCACGAAGGUUGGCUAAUCCUGGUCGGACAUCAGGAGGUUAGUGCAAUGGCAUAAGCCAGCUUGACUGCGAGCGUGACGGCGCGAGCAGGUGCGAAAGCAGGUCAUAGUGAUCCGGUGGUUCUGAAUGGAAGGGCCAUCGCUCAACGGAUAAAAGGUACUCCGGGGAUAACAGGCUGAUACCGCCCAAGAGUUCAUAUCGACGGCGGUGUUUGGCACCUCGAUGUCGGCUCAUCACAUCCUGGGGCUGAAGUAGGUCCCAAGGGUAUGGCUGUUCGCCAUUUAAAGUGGUACGCGAGCUGGGUUUAGAACGUCGUGAGACAGUUCGGUCCCUAUCUGCCGUGGGCGCUGGAGAACUGAGGGGGGCUGCUCCUAGUACGAGAGGACCGGAGUGGACGCAUCACUGGUGUUCGGGUUGUCAUGCCAAUGGCACUGCCCGGUAGCUAAAUGCGGAAGAGAUAAGUGCUGAAAGCAUCUAAGCACGAAACUUGCC
Molecule: ribosomal RNA, 731 nt
Filed under: Escherichia coli
Lineage: Bacteria; Pseudomonadati; Pseudomonadota; Gammaproteobacteria; Enterobacterales; Enterobacteriaceae
Description: partial 23S ribosomal RNA
Rfam family: Bacterial large subunit ribosomal RNA
Source: RNAcentral